UUUGUAAAGUGGUUCCUAGCUAGAGGAAAUGGGCCACUGGGGUUAUAUCUUUGAAUUUCAUACCAUGUCUGUAUCUACAUGUCCUUCUCUUAUCUAUACUUCCUGCAUAUCAUGAUACCUGCUCUGACACCCCACCCCUGAGGUGAUGGACUGAACCCUCAGAAAUCAUAAGCUAAAAUGAACCUCUUGUCAGCCAUUCUACCAUGGUGACAAAAGGGUAGCUAAUAUAUGUAGCUAAUGAGAUAUUAGCAGACAUGAAACAUGGUAGCUUGUAUUUUAAAGUACAGUGCCAAUUUGGUAUGCACUGCCUUAUGUUUCUUCUGUCAUCAUAAGAGAAACUACUGCUGGACACUUCUUGCCUCGUCAGCCUGCACUGAAUGAGAUGACAUACUGCUCCGAACAACCAACCCCAUAGCAAGUUAAGCCAGUGAGGUCUCACAGUUUGAAGCAGAGAGCAGUCUGUUAGAAGGCAGUGUAGGGCAUUCAAAGUCAGUCAACUCACUUACACAUAGUAUUAUUGUUUUUCAUGUGGCAGUAAUCCCCAUGCUCUUCCUCUAUGAGUGUCAUGCACUAAGUUCAAUCAGGGCUGCUCACAUGAUCAUGGGAAGGACUGAUGUUAUUUACUGUAACAUACGCAACCCAUCAAUAGCUACUUUGCUGAAGAAAGUGACACUUUCAAUCCAACCCACCAUUAAUUAUUACAAUCUUUCAGUGAUGGUCACAAGUCCCUCUUUUCUAUGUUGAAAUGUCAUAGCUACAGUGAGUUAAUAAGUGUCCUGUCUAAUAUCCAGAUGAAAUACUAGGUUAAAAUAGAUUUUUACCAAAAAUUGGUGUUUCUCAUUUAUUUUCCAUUAACUGAAUUUGUUCUUUGCCAGUUUCACAUAGGCAUAUAAUACAUUCUGAUUACUAUAAGGCACUACUCUCUCUUUUCCCCUCUAAUUUUUUUCAUUCUCCCGUUACAAAUCCUUUUUCCACAUUCAAAUCUAUACCUCUUGUUUUGUGGCCUGAUUUUAAUCAGGAUCAUCUGUCUGAACACAAGUUUAGAACUAUCCACUGCCAUUUGGUGAACUCAUCAGUAAGUACACAACUGAAGACAAUAACUGUCCAUCCUCUUCAGUCCUCCAGUAGCCAGCAGUUCAUCAGGGAAGAGUGGGGUCUCAUGAUCCCACUCUCCAAUCCCUGACUGACUGCUAACAGGCUCACUCUUGUGCAGGCCCAGUGCAGUCAACUACAACUGCUAUGAGAUCGUUGUAGUUGCUGUGUCAUACUGUGAAGAUUUCACAGCUCUUCUCCCUAACUGCAAGUUCUUACAUUUUUUUUCAACUCCUUCUUCUGUUAUACUCCUUGACACAUAGAAAGGGUGGUAUUAAUGUCUUUUGGGGGUGAAUACUACAGAAGAAGGAGAGGAAGGACUGUCAGAGCCAAAGGCGUCGAAGACACCACAAGAACACAGCCAACAGAAUCAUCUAAGCAGGAACCACAGAGAUUGAAGAGAUAAUCAAAGACCCUGUAUGGGUCUCACCUAGUUCCUCUGCAUCUAUGUUAUGGUUGAAUAGCCUUGUGUUCCUGUAGGACUCCUAACAGUGGGAGCAGGGGCUGUCUCUAACUCUUUUGCCUGCUCUUGAGACCCUUUUCCUCCUACUUGGUUUCCUCAUCCGACCUUGCUAAGACUGGGCAAGACUUGAGUCUUAUUUUAACUUGUUAGACCAUGUUUAAUUGAUAUAACUGGGAGGCCUGCUUUUUUCUUAAAGGGAAACUUUCAAAGGAGGAGUGGAGGAAGGGAAAACUGCAUUUGAGAUGUAAUGUAUGAGAGAAGAAUAAAAAAUUAGGAUAUACCAAAUUUAUAUAAAAAUAAUUUAUAUAUACAUAUAUGUACAAUUCAGUACCAUAAAAAUUUAGUUUAAAAAUCAAAUGACAAUCUGAGUAGACUUUUUAAAAGAAGCUAUGUAAAUGGCCAGUGAGUAUAAGAAGAGAAUCUUUCACAUUACCAGCAAAAUUGAGAACAAAACCACAACUAUAUUGGUGCUGGGGUUUCAACCCAAGUUCUCAUUAGUGCUUCUCACAUUUUCUACCACUGAACUAUAGCCCCAUCGUUCAAAAUAUGCUACUUGAGAAGCCUUUAUAUCAUGUACAAUGAGUGUAAUGAAAACAUUUCAGAUAAUAACAAGUCUUACUAAGAGUAUGGGAAAAAUACUACUGGUAGAAUUUAAAACAAUGAAACUUCAUCACAAAACAAAAUAGGUAAACAUAGCUGACCACAAACUACCAUAGAUUGCCAUUCUUAGUUAUAAAACUAAGGAGAAUGAAAAUACAAGCCCAUGUGAAAACACUUGCAUGACAGUUCAUACCUGCAGAAUUCCUAGUGUCUGUCAAUCAGUAACUUUAUCAAUAAAAGGUGACACAAAUACAACAAAGCAUCCACCUACAAAAGUAAGGAGGCACUAGUACAGGCUACCACAUGGAUGACCUCUGGAAAAAUUAUGUCAUGAAGAAGAAACAUGACACUGGUGACCACAGAACUGGUUCUAUCACAGGAAACAUCCAGAGCAGUACAUUUAUAGUGUUAAGAAGUGAGUUCAUGAUAGUCUGAUGCCAAAGAGCCAGUAGUAGUUGGGAAGUGAUCAUUGAAAAGCAUGGAGUUCUAGAAAAGGAGUGAUAAAAACAUUUUAAAAUGGAUUGCUCUGCUGGUUUCGCAGCUUUGUGAACACAUUAAAAUCUAUGCAAAAAUUUAAGGAUUUUUAAAAAAGAGAUGAGAGGUUUUAAACUUACAUUUUAAAAAUGUGUAUAAGUGUUUUGCAUUCAUGUAUGCCUGUGUGCCUUGUCCAUACCUGCUGCCUGCAGAGGUCAGAAAAGAGCAUUGAAGACUCUAGAACUGGAGUUUUUACACAGUUGUGAGCUGCUGCCAUGUGGGUGCUGGGAAUCAAACCUAGGUUCUCUGAAAGAACAAGUACUCUUCACUGCUGAGCCUUCUGUCCAGCCACAAUCUUUAUUCAUUUUUAUUUGUGUAUAAGAUUGUUUGCAUGCAUGUAUAGGCAACACGUGUAUAACUGAUGCUUGUGGAGGCUAGAAGAGAGCAUCAUAUCCCCUGGAACAGGUGGUUGUGAGGGGUGCUGGGAAUGAAACCUAGGUCCUUUGCAAGAGCAACCACCACUGUUAACUUCUGAACCAUAUCUAUAGCCCCUGAAAUUAUGCAUUUUAAAGAAGUGUUAUGAUAUGAGUUAUAGACUAAUUAAGUUACUUGAGAGUGUUAAUAUAUGCCAAUAUUAAACAGUCCAAUUUCCCCAACAAACUUAUAGCCCAUGAUUCAAACUAUCAAGUAGAGAAUGUUAUUAUACAUUUAAAAGUAGUUUAUAUGACAUAUUCUCCCCUGAACACUUGAGUAUCUCUUCAUAAUUUGCCCUUCCCCCAUUAUUUCCAGUAAAAGUAUGUUACUUUUGACAAUGUAAACCUUAUUUUUGCAUGAAAAUAACAAAUAAUAAUUUAAAUAUUUAGUUAAUAAACAAAUAAACUUUAUUAGGAAGUAUUUUCCACUUUUCAUAUAUAUAAUUAGAAUUUUCAGAUUAUAUAGUGAUGGGUGAUAUCACUCAUUGAUAAAAUAACUUAUGAAAUAAAGUGGGCACAAGUCCCUUCCGCUCGACUCGAGCCCCGGGCUACCUUGCCAGCAGAGUCUUGCCCAACACCCGCAAGGGCCCACACGGGACUCCCCACGGGAUCCUAAGACCUCUGGUGAGUGGAACAUAGCGCCUGCCCCAAUCCAAUCGCGCAGAACCUGAGACUGCAGUACAUAGGGAAGCAGGCUACCCAGGCUUGAUCUGGGGCACAAACCCCUUGCUCUCCACUCGAGCCCCGGGCUACCUUGCCAGCGGAGUCGCCUGACACCCGCAAGG
This 3887-nucleotide long non-coding RNA is filed under the name Mus musculus (house mouse). Its description in RNAcentral is "long non-coding RNA chrX:164746764-164750651". The record is from RNAcentral. Lineage: Eukaryota; Metazoa; Chordata; Mammalia; Rodentia; Muridae.